AGGGUGAGAACCCCGUAUGUGACCGGUCGCCAAACCCAUGUGAAACCCCUUCGACGAGUCGAGUUGUUUGGGAAUGCAGCUCAAAAUGGGUGGUAAAUUUCAUCUAAAGCUAAAUAUUGGCCAGAGACCGAUAGCGCACAAGUAGAGUGAUCGAAAGAUGAAAAGCACUUUGGAAAGAGAGUCAAACAGCACGUGAAAUUGUUGAAAGGGAAGCGCUUGCGACCAGACCUGCUCGCGGGUGAUCAGCGGUGCUUUUCGCGCCGUGCACUCAUCCGCGAUCAGGCCAGCAUCGGUUCAGGCGGCCGGAUAAAGACUCGGAGAAUGUAGCUCCCUCCGGGGAGUGUUAUAGCUCCUUGUGCAAUACGGCCAGCCGGGACCGAGGACCGCGCUUCGGCUAGGAUGCUGGCGUAAUGGUCGUAAGCGACCCGUCUUGAAACACGGACCAAGGAGUCUAACAUCUGUGCGAGUGUUUGGGCGUCAAACCCAUGCGCGCAAUGAAAGUGAACGUGAGGUGGGAACCCUUUCGGGGGCGCACCAUCGACCGAUCCAGAUGUCUUCGGAUGGAUUUGAGUAAGAGCACAGCUGUUGGGACCCGAAAGAUGGUGAACUAUGCCUGAAUAGGGUGAAGCCAGAGGAAACUCUGGUGGAGGCUCGCAGCGGUUCUGACGUGCAAAUCGAUCGUCAAAUUUGGGUAUAGGGGCGAAAGACUAAUCGA
RNAcentral lists this ribosomal RNA (715 nucleotides) under Psora decipiens. Its description in RNAcentral is "LSU rRNA". It matches the Rfam family "Eukaryotic large subunit ribosomal RNA", at positions 209 to 938 of the family's 3401-position model. The record is from RNAcentral. Lineage: Eukaryota; Fungi; Ascomycota; Lecanoromycetes; Lecanorales; Psoraceae.